Molecule: ribosomal RNA, 423 nt
Filed under: Eugerdella sp.
Lineage: Eukaryota; Metazoa; Arthropoda; Malacostraca; Isopoda; Desmosomatidae
Description: partial 16S ribosomal RNA
Rfam family: Bacterial large subunit ribosomal RNA
Source: RNAcentral
GACCGUGCUAAGGUAGCAUAAUCAUUAGUUCCUUGAUUGGGAGCCGGAAUAAAUGAGUUGACGAUAUUUGUGUUUUUCUAGCAGGCAGGUGAAAAUUGAUAUUUGCAUCAAAAAGUGCAACUUUUUAGGGGGACGAUAAGACCCCAUAAAACUUUAUCCUUAAUAAAUUUCUUGGUUUGGAAGUGCAGGAAAAGAGCUGAGGAUUUAGCUGGGGCGGCAUCUAAUAUAACUUUAGUAUAUUUAACACAUAUCUGUGAUCCGCAAGAUCUAUAUAAAAUUUAGACUAAGUUACUUUGGGGAUAACAGCACUAUUUUUUCCUACAGCUCGCAUGGAAGAAAGAGACUGUGACCUCGAUGUUGAAUUGGGGUGCCAGGCUUAAGCAGAAAUAGGCCUAGGAGGUCUGUUCGACCUUUAAUUCCCCA